Molecule: non-coding RNA, 82 nt
Filed under: Kribbella flavida
Lineage: Bacteria; Bacillati; Actinomycetota; Actinomycetes; Propionibacteriales; Kribbellaceae
Also listed under: 1 other name
Description: ZTP sequence
Rfam family: ZMP/ZTP riboswitch aptamer (pfl RNA motif)
About the family: Previously known as pfl RNA.
Source: RNAcentral
UUACCGCGUCGCGACUGGCGCGUGAGGUGGAGAACCACCGGGGAGCGAGAAGACGCGGGCACCGUGCGCCUGGGUGCCCAGC